This 76-nucleotide transfer RNA is filed under the name Yarrowia sp. C11. Its description in RNAcentral is "tRNA-Gln". It matches the Rfam family "tRNA". Rfam says of the family: Transfer RNA (tRNA) molecules are approximately 80 nucleotides in length. The record is from RNAcentral. Lineage: Eukaryota; Fungi; Ascomycota; Dipodascomycetes; Dipodascales.
GGUUGUAUAGUGUAGCGGUUAUCACCUUGGAUUCUGACUUCUUCCAGUAACCCCGGUUCGAUUCCGGGUACGACCU